GUGGGGAAUAUUGGGCAAUGGGCGAAAGCCUGACCCAGCAACGCCGCGUGAAGGAAGAAGGUUUUCGGAUCGUAAACUUCUAUCCUUGGUGAAGAUAAUGACGGUAGCCAAGAAGGAAGCCCCGGCUAACUACGUGCCAGCAGCCGCGGUAAUACGUAGGGGGCAAGCGUUGUCCGGAAUGAUUGGGCGUAAAGGGCGCGUAGGCGGCCCGGUAAGUCUGAAGUGAAAGUCCUGCUUUUAAGGUGGGAAUUGCUUUGGAUACUGUCGGGCUUGAGUGCAGGAGAGGUAAGUGGAAUUCCCGGUGUAGCGGUGAAAUGCGUAGAGAUCGGGAGGAACACCAGUGGCGAAGGCGACUUACUGGACUGUAACUGACGCUGAGGCGCGAAAGUGUGGGGAGCAAACAGGAUUAGAUACCCUGUAGUCC
This 424-nucleotide ribosomal RNA is filed under the name uncultured bacterium. Its description in RNAcentral is "partial 16S ribosomal RNA". It matches the Rfam family "Bacterial small subunit ribosomal RNA", at positions 354 to 796 of the family's 1533-position model. The record is from RNAcentral.